This 693-nucleotide ribosomal RNA is filed under the name Escherichia coli. RNAcentral describes it as "partial 23S ribosomal RNA". It matches the Rfam family "Bacterial large subunit ribosomal RNA", at positions 2238 to 2925 of the family's 2925-position model. Lineage: Bacteria; Pseudomonadati; Pseudomonadota; Gammaproteobacteria; Enterobacterales; Enterobacteriaceae. The record is from RNAcentral.
AUCCGGGUUGCGGACAGUGUCUGGUGGGUAGUUUGACUGGGGCGGUCUCCUCCUAAAGAGUAACGGAGGAGCACGAAGGUUGGCUAAUCCUGGUCGGACAUCAGGAGGUUAGUGCAAUGGCAUAAGCCAGCUUGACUGCGAGCGUGACGGCGCGAGCAGGUGCGAAAGCAGGUCAUAGUGAUCCGGUGGUUCUGAAUGGAAGGGCCAUCGCUCAACGGAUAAAAGGUACUCCGGGGAUAACAGGCUGAUACCGCCCAAGAGUUCAUAUCGACGGCGGUGUUUGGCACCUCGAUGUCGGCUCAUCACAUCCUGGGGCUGAAGUAGGUCCCAAGGGUAUGGCUGUUCGCCAUUUAAAGUGGUACGCGAGCUGGGUUUAGAACGUCGUGAGACAGUUCGGUCCCUAUCUGCCGUGGGCGCUGGAGAACUGAGGGGGGCUGCUCCUAGUACGAGAGGACCGGAGUGGACGCAUCACUGGUGUUCGGGUUGUCAUGCCAAUGGCACUGCCCGGUAGCUAAAUGCGGAAGAGAUAAGUGCUGAAAGCAUCUAAGCACGAAACUUGCCCCGAGAUGAGUUCUCCCUGACUCCCUGAGAGUCCUGAAGGAACGUUGAAGACGACGACGUUGAUAGGCCGGGUGUGUAAGCGCAGCGAUGCGUUGAGCUAACCGGUACUAAUGAACCGUGAGGCUUAACCUU